RNAcentral lists this long non-coding RNA (248 nucleotides) under Lathyrus oleraceus (garden pea). Its description in RNAcentral is "Pisum sativum (pea) long non-coding RNA (PSAT_LNC013785)". Lineage: Eukaryota; Viridiplantae; Streptophyta; Magnoliopsida; Fabales; Fabaceae. The record is from RNAcentral.
UUUCAUCUUAUGGCCUGCCUGGUGUGCUCCACAGGCUCCACUAUUUAUACUAGAUAAUGCUAAGUACGCCUCGUUUUCUCCUAAACAUUUCAACAGGAUCCCUUCAGGGGUUUUCUUGAAUAAUUCAUUCCCCAUCAAAACAUAAGAUAAAGCCCUGCACUUGGUUUUUCUUUCUGUAUCUAUUGAAGGGUCCUUGAGAUAAUUAAUAAUUGGAUUCCUCCAAUUUGUAUCCAUUAAGGUAUCAAUGG